AGAGAGAGACAUGCGCGCAUAUCAAUAAGCGGAGGAAAAGAAACUAACUAGGAUUCCCUCAGUAACGGCGAGUGAAGCGGGAAGAGCUCAAAUUUGAAAUCUUCAAGGGUUCUACCUUUACGAAUUGUAGUUUAAAGAAGUGUUUUCUGUUGAGGUUUUGGUAAAAGUUCUUUGGAAUAGGACAUCAUAGAGGGUGAGAAUCCCGUAUUUGACCAUUAUUUCCAGCUUUGUGAUACACUUUCAAAGAGUCGGAUUGUUUGGGAAUGCAGUCCAAAAUGGGUGGUAAAUUUCAUCUAAAGCUAAAUACUGGCGAGAGACCGAUAGCGAACAAGUACCGUGAGGGAAAGAUGAAAAGAACUUUGAAAAGAGAGUUAAACAGUACGUGAAAUUGUCAAAAGGGAAGCGUUUGACACCAGUGUUGUUUUUCUGAAAAUCAAUUAAAGAACUGUUUAUGCUAAGUUGUUUAGACUUUAUCAGCUGACUGUUUAGUUUUGAGCUUUUCUUUAAUGCACUUUUCAGUUAACAAGUCAACAUCAAUUUCUUUUGCUGUAAAAAAGCUUGAGGAAGGUGGCUUGAGAUUCGUCUUAAGUGUUUAUAGCCUCUUGCCUAUGCAGUCGGAGAGAUUGAGGUCUGCAGCGUAGAUCCUUCGGGGUUAGAUACAUUUGUGCUAAGUUAUAGCCUUUCAUAGACAACUUGUUGACUAUGAUCAGUCAUGUAGCUUACUCGCUUAUGCUAUUUUACCUACGCUUAGGAUGUUGAUGUGAUACUGCGACA
Molecule: ribosomal RNA, 774 nt
Filed under: uncultured Neocallimastigales
Lineage: Eukaryota; Fungi; Neocallimastigomycota; Neocallimastigomycetes; Neocallimastigales
Description: partial large subunit ribosomal RNA
Rfam family: Eukaryotic large subunit ribosomal RNA
Source: RNAcentral